UUACGGGAGGCAGCAGUGGGGAAUUUUGCGCAAUGGGGGAAACCCUGACGCAGCAACGCCGCGUGAGUGAUGAAGGCCCUUGGGUCGUAAAGCUCUGACAGAGGGAAAGAAAUGUAGAGGGGCUAAUAUCCCCAUUACUUGACGGUACCCUCAAAGGAAGCACCGGCUAACUCCGUGCCAGCAGCCGCGGUAAUACGGGGGGUGCAAGCGUUGUUCGGAUUUAUUGGGCGUAAAGCGCGUGUAGGCGGUUUUAUAAGUCUGAUGUGAAAGCCCUGGGCUCAACCCGGGAAGUGCAUUGGAUACUGUAAGACUUGAAUACGGGAGAGGGCAGUGGAAUUCCUAGUGUAGGAGUGAAAUCCGUAGAUAUUAGGAGGAACACCGGUGGCGAAGGCGGCUGCCUGGACCGAUAUUGACGCUGAGACGCGAAAGCGUGGGUAGCAAACAGGAUUAGAUACCCCGGU
RNAcentral lists this ribosomal RNA (461 nucleotides) under uncultured bacterium. RNAcentral's name for it is "bacterial SSU rRNA". It matches the Rfam family "Bacterial small subunit ribosomal RNA", at positions 339 to 791 of the family's 1533-position model. The record is from RNAcentral.